CGGGGUAGGAGUAACGACGUGAGGGAAACCCCCUCCAAAGAAGGGGGACAACAGUUGGAAACGACUGCUAAUACCGCAUAAGCCCACCGGCUCGGCAUCGAGCAGAGGGAAAAGGAGCAAUCCGCUUUGAGAUGGCCUCGCGUCCGAUUAGCUAGUUGGUGAGGUAAUGGCCCACCAAGGCGACGAUCGGUAGCCGGACUGAGAGGUUGAACGGCCACAUUGGGACUGAGACACGGCCCAG
This 241-nucleotide ribosomal RNA is filed under the name uncultured bacterium. RNAcentral's name for it is "partial 16S ribosomal RNA". It matches the Rfam family "Bacterial small subunit ribosomal RNA", at positions 104 to 334 of the family's 1533-position model. The record is from RNAcentral.